UACGUAGGGGGCAAGCGUUGUCCGGAUUUAUUGGGCGUAAAGAGCGUGUAGGCGGCCAGGUAGGUCCGUUGUGAAAACUCGAGGCUCAACCUCGAGACGCCGAUGGAAACCAUCUGGCUAGAGUCCGGAAGAGGAGAGUGGAAUUCCCGGUGUAGCGGUGAAAUGCGUAGAGAUCCGGAGGAACACCAAAGGCGAAGGCAGUGUCCUGGGGAGUACCUGACGCUCAGGUGCGAAAGCCAGGGGAGCGAACGGG
This 253-nucleotide ribosomal RNA is filed under the name uncultured bacterium. RNAcentral's name for it is "partial 16S ribosomal RNA". It matches the Rfam family "Bacterial small subunit ribosomal RNA", at positions 524 to 776 of the family's 1533-position model. The record is from RNAcentral.